Molecule: ribosomal RNA, 763 nt
Filed under: uncultured Streptococcus sp.
Lineage: Bacteria; Bacillati; Bacillota; Bacilli; Lactobacillales; Streptococcaceae
Description: bacterial SSU rRNA
Rfam family: Bacterial small subunit ribosomal RNA
Source: RNAcentral
GACGAACGCAGGGCGGCGUGCCUAAUACAUGCAAGUAGAACGCUGACGGAGGAGCAUGCUCUUCUGGUGAGUUGCGAACGGGUGAGUAACGAGUAGGUAACCUGCCUGGUAGCGGGGGAUAACUAUUGGAAACGAUAGCUAAUACCGCAUAAGAGUAGAUGUUGCAUGACAUUUACUUAAAAGGUGCAAUUGCAUCACUACCAGAUGGACCUGCGUUGUAUUAGCUAGUUGGUGGGGUAACGGCUCACCAAGGCGACGAUACAUAGCCGACCUGAGAGGGUGAUCGGCCACACUGGGACUGAGACACGGCCCAGACUCCUACGGGAGGCAGCAGUAGGGAAUCUUCGGCAAUGGACGGAAGUCUGACCGAGCAACGCCGCGUGAGUGAAGAAGGUUUUCGGAUCGUAAAGCUCUGUUGUAAGAGAAGAACGAGUGUGAGAGUGGAAAGUUCACACUGUGACGGUAUCUUACCAGAAAGGGACGGCUAACUACGUGCCAGCAGCCGCGGUAAUACGUAGGUCCCGAGCGUUGUCCGGAUUUAUUGGGCGUAAAGCGAGCGCAGGCGGUUAGAUAAGUCUGAAGUUAAAGGCUGUGGCUUAACCAUAGUACGCUUUGGAAACUGUUUAACUUGAGUGCAAGAGGGGAGAGUGGAAUUCCAUGUGUAGCGGUGAAAUGCGUAGAUAUAUGGAGGAACACCGGUGGCGAAAGCGGCUCUCUGGCUUGUAACUGACGCUGAGGCUCGAAAGCGUGGGGAGCAAACAGG